CCAAAGGCUCUUUUCAGAGCCACCCACCUAAUCGUAAAAGAGCUCU
This is a non-coding RNA of Pteropus alecto (black flying fox), 46 nucleotides long. NCBI's taxonomy places the organism in Eukaryota, Metazoa, Chordata, Mammalia, Chiroptera, Pteropodidae. The record is from Rfam.